This 1704-nucleotide long non-coding RNA is filed under the name Haliotis rubra (blacklip abalone). Its description in RNAcentral is "uncharacterized LOC124267954". Lineage: Eukaryota; Metazoa; Mollusca; Gastropoda; Lepetellida; Haliotidae. The record is from RNAcentral.
UUCAAGAAAGCAGACGUAAAAUCACUACUCACCACGAGUUGUCUCCCUCUCCGUUUUGGCGGGAAAACGGCGCCACCCGUCUGCCCACUCUUCACUCUCUCCUUCGCCCUAGUGGGCAGUUGGGAGAGCAUGCAUUCAGUGUACAAGUCACUGUUCUCCACAUUUUCAACAAACCCUGGAUAUGAUAUGUCGUCAUGUAUACAAAAGUAACAAUAUAUACAAUACUAGUAAUCAUUAAUUCUAGUUUCUACUGUCUAAGAUUUACCACAUUUUCAUCCAAUUUUGGAAGGAUUUACCACUUCUAAAGUUUCAUUUGUACAAUACGGGAUGGUUCACAAGAGUCAAAAUUGAUUUGACUGUUCUUAGAAUUGAGAUUAAAACCUCUCACUUUGCUGGAUUUUGUUUUAUAGGCAUGAUGCUUUCUUUGGUUUUGUGACCCGAACCUGCAAGUUUGCUGUCACGGUUCAGCAUUUCCAAAUACUCGUCAAGUGCAAUGUUGUUAUUUUUGCCCCCUCGCAAAUUGACAAAUCGAUUAGCCACUAAACGCUCUGUUUGCUCUGCUGGUAAAGUUCCUGAAGUGAUGGCAGUUAAAUGGACUGAACCUAUCUCUUUCAUGACCUUGUUGGUUUUGUUGUACAAGGGUAGCUCGCACUUAGCUGAUCGAACAGAUCCACUGCCAUCGGCCAUGUCAACAACUCAACAGUGCCCUGACUAGAUAAUUUUUUGGCUUGAUCAUGUUUGUUUUCCCAUUUACCUUUACCUGUCCCCUCGACCUACCUUCCACUAUCCACCUGUUUCUUACCUUUUGGGCUUGAUGAGGUUUUGCUUUGCCUUUACUUUUGCCUUUCCCUUUUCCCCCUACCUGCAGGAUUUGGGGGGUGGGGCUGGGUGUUGUAAUCUGUAGGAAUUGACGCCGUGACAGGUUCCUCAACGUUUGGUGUACUACUUGCUUGCUUGAUAACACCCUCUACAAAUGCACACUCCCUAGCAGCAGUAAGGGUGUUUUUGAGCAUAGUAUUUAUGUGCUUUUUUGGCCAUGUGCAAGAUAGUCACUGGCCAUCUUAUGUUCUGCAGCAUCAUUGGGAUGCUGCCUUGCCACUUCAGUCUCCAAAGAUUUCCGAACAUCCGUAGUUGCAUAUCUCCUACUCUUGUUUUCAUCAUUGGUUUAAAGUAAACCUCUUGUCCUCUGGAAUGGGGCCAACUCGAUGGCCAUGUUUUCCAAUUUGUUGCCGUCAACUGUCCUGAAGAAAAGUGACUUUUCCGGCUGGCUGUCUUCAGUCAUGUCACCACGUAUAUACCGGCAGUAAUCCUUGAACAUGUUGUACUCCUCUUUGGUCAAGGUUAUGCUGACCAGGACCCUUGUGGAUGUUUUGUGGUCCGUGAAAGACAAUUGAUGAUUUGACUGCUGGUUGAAUUGAGAGUAAAACCUCUCACUUUUCAUGUUUCUUUGCCGGAUUUGUUUUAUAGGCAUGAUGCUUUCUUUGGUUUUGUGACCCGAAACUGCAAGUUUGCUGUCACGGUUCAGCAUUUCCAAAUACUCGUCAAGUGCAAUGUUGUUAUUUUUGCAGUCAGAAAUUAUUUUAACGACAAUAUAUUUAGUAACAGUAAAAAACACCCAAACAGGAAACGAUAUAUACAAUGCUAACAAAUAUAUACAAAAGUAACAAUAUAUACAAUGCUAUAUUCAUCAAUUCUAUUUUAUAC